UACGUAGGGUGCAAGCGUUUAAUCGGAAUUACUGGGCGUAAAGCGUGCGCAGGCGGUCCGUUAAGACAGAUGUGAAAUCCCCGGGCUUUAACCUGGGGAACUGCAUUUGUGACUGGCGGACUCGAGUAUGGCAGAGGGGGGGUAGAAUUCCACGUGUAGCAGUGAAAUGGCGUAGAGAUGUGGAGGAAUACCGAUGGCGAAGGCAGCCCCCCUGGGCCAAUACUGACGCUCAUGCACGAAAGCGUGGGGAGCAAACAG
RNAcentral lists this ribosomal RNA (258 nucleotides) under uncultured bacterium. RNAcentral's name for it is "partial 16S ribosomal RNA". It matches the Rfam family "Bacterial small subunit ribosomal RNA", at positions 524 to 775 of the family's 1533-position model. The record is from RNAcentral.